This 253-nucleotide ribosomal RNA is filed under the name uncultured bacterium. RNAcentral's name for it is "partial 16S ribosomal RNA". It matches the Rfam family "Bacterial small subunit ribosomal RNA", at positions 524 to 776 of the family's 1533-position model. The record is from RNAcentral.
UACGUAGGGGGCAAGCGUUGUCCGGAAUCAUUGGGCGUAAAGAGCGUGUAGGCGGCCCGGUAAGUCCGCUGUGAAAGUCCAGGGCUCAACCCUGGGAUGCCGGUGGAUACUGUCGGGCUCGAGUCCGGAAGAGGAGUGUGGAAUUCCUGGUGUAGCGGUGAAAUGCGCAGAUAUCAGGAGGAACACCAAUGGCGAAGGCAGCACUCUGGGACGUGACUGACACUGAGGGACGAAAGCUAGGGGAGCGAAUGGG